UACGGAGGGGGCUAGCGUUGUUCGGAAUUACUGGGCGUAAAGCGCACGUAGGCGGCUUUGCAAGUCAGAGGUGAAAGCCCGGGGCUCAACCCCGGAAUAGCCUUUGAGACUGCAUCGCUUGAACAUCGGAGAGGUAAGUGGAAUUCCGAGUGUGGAGGUGAAAUUCGUAGAUAUUCGGAAGAACACCAGUGGCGAAGGCGACUUACUGGACGAUUGUUGACGCUGAGGUGCGAAAGCGUGGGGAGCAAACAGG
RNAcentral lists this ribosomal RNA (253 nucleotides) under uncultured bacterium. Its description in RNAcentral is "partial 16S ribosomal RNA". It matches the Rfam family "Bacterial small subunit ribosomal RNA", at positions 524 to 776 of the family's 1533-position model. The record is from RNAcentral.